This 2074-nucleotide unclassified non-coding RNA is filed under the name Dermacentor andersoni. RNAcentral describes it as "sorting nexin-21-like". Lineage: Eukaryota; Metazoa; Arthropoda; Arachnida; Ixodida; Ixodidae. The record is from RNAcentral.
AACUUAUUCAGUUAUCUGAUCGUCAAUCGCUUAUACCACUACAAUUAGCGGAUACCUUUAUUCGUACAGUACUUACACAUGUCGAAUAGCUUAUGAUAUUUAACGGCAUCUGUCAAUUAGCUUCGAUGCCCAUUGGUCAACGACGACGACAGCGCCCUAUCGUACACUGUGACAGCGCCAAUGCCCCCAAUUGAUCAAAAUUCGUUAUAAAGACGGCAGUGUGGAGAGUCCGAUACCGAGACAACAACUAGAAUUUUCUCGGACUGUGAGACGACGGCAGUGAAACUCGCUGGGAGGUCGAACGGUUGUUUUUGGUAAAUAAUCAUUGCACUCGUUGCUUGGUUGGCUGUGUCAGAGGCGUGUGCCCUUGCAGCUGCGCUGGCUGCGCCUCGCACAAGGCUGGCUGCGGUAGUAGUGACUGCGGAGGUGUCACGGUGAUGAUUUCAGAUCGACGAGUUACCACGCGUGUUCGUAGUACUGUGUAGUUAUGAGCUCCGAGGAACUGAACUCUUCUCUUUCUGAUGACGUGGACGAACUGCGUUGUUCCCAAGUGGUGGGAACACUUUGCUUUUCUGACGCUGCAGAUGACACGGGGGAGUGUUUCGUCUCGUCGACAUCGAGAACCAUUCGCUCGUGGUCAAAGACUUCACAGCCAAACACCUUGAUGGCCUCAGCAGGUGAUCCUCCAUCCAGAGUAGGACCUCAACAGGUGGUCUUUGAGAUUGUGUCUGCCAAAACAGUCGUUGAAGGACGUAAGAAGUUUGUGUGCUACACAGUGCUUGUGAAAAAGAGUCCUGGACUGGAGAGACUUCCAGGGGUCCUGGAGCGUCGCUACUCUGAUUUUUCAGCCCUGUUUGCGGGUCUGCGUCGCCGUCACCCAUCAUGCGUGGCUCUGCGUGACUUCCCUUUCCCCCGCAAAGCCCUGCUGGGAAACUUUACUACUGAGGUGAUAACAGAACGUAGUUUGGCCUUUCGCCACCUGCUGUCCCGUGUCCAUGCAUCGCCGGAGUUACGUCGGUCACCAGAGUUUGCAGAAUUCACAUGGCGCCGGGAAGUGUGCCGUGCUCAUCGGCUGAUGACUGCUGGCCAGUUUGAAGAUGCCUCUGUCUUGCUUGAAAAUGCUUACUCCGUGCAAGAGAAAGUUCUUGGAGAUGGCGACCCAGACACGUUCACCACUUUGGCGGUGCUCACAGCUUGCCUGAAUGCAGUGGACAAUGUGGCUGAGGCACAGAAGUAUGCCGAGCUGGCCCUGUCCAAGUGGCUGCCUGGCAGCACUGUGUCAAAUCCCAGCGACCUAGAGGUGCCAUUACUUGUGCUGGCAAUUCGACUUUGGUGGGCGGUGGGAAAGGAGAAGCGUGAGCUGGAGGAGCGACUGCGCCAGGUGAAGGACACGGGAGUCAAUGUGGAUGCUCUGCCGACACUGCUUGAGCUGGUACUCAAGAAGGAUAGUGCUACCUUGUAUUCAUCCUAACGUGAUAGACUACCAGCACUUGCUCCUCGCAGGCUGUGUUGCCCACCACUCUGUGCGGCUGCAGGCCUUUGGGAUGUUGCAGCUCUUCUUUUUUCGUCUGUGGAUGAGCAUAAAAGCCGGUUCACUUCAAUGACAUGAUGAAAGAAAUUUUGGGCUGCAGGAGUCCUACAUCCCAGUUGUGAAUGUAGGACGGACUACAGAACUUCUUGUGAAAAGGUGUAAUCAAAAGCUCCUGCACAUGGCAUAUGGUUUUCAAGCAACAAGCACUAAAAGUUUGUCUAGUUCUUUCUCAACAGUGCAUGCAUUGAGCACCAAUUGUCUGUGGCAUAUGUGCAUUGUCUUUAUAUGAUGAUGUGGCACUGUUCAGCCAACAUUCAGAAGAAAAAAAAACUUUAGGGUAGACUGAAUGCAUUGUUCUUGCAAUACUGCAGAAAAAUAGGAGGAACAUGAGCAAGUGAUGGAAAGCACUUCAAAAUGUGUAAUCACAGAUCAGUGUUAGCUUGUAAUGUGUCUGUGGCAAAGGUGGAAGGUGUCACGAGUUGCAUUGUUGUACCUAUAUUCUUUCACAGAUGAUUAAUAAAGCUCUUUAGACAAGAGAAACAA